UUGUGGGUUAAGGCCCCCAAGAGACUAUUGGGUUGAUAGGCCGGAGAUGGAAGGUCGGUAACGGCUGGAGUUGACCGGUACUAAUAGGCCGAGGACUUGUCAUG
RNAcentral lists this non-coding RNA (104 nucleotides) under Saccharothrix sp. NRRL B-16348. Its description in RNAcentral is "partial 23S ribosomal RNA". It matches the Rfam family "Bacterial large subunit ribosomal RNA", at positions 2821 to 2925 of the family's 2925-position model. Lineage: Bacteria; Bacillati; Actinomycetota; Actinomycetes; Pseudonocardiales; Pseudonocardiaceae. The record is from RNAcentral.